UCAGUAUUUCAGGGUUCUACAUUUUAUCUGUAAAAUGUGACUUUUUUUUUUUUUUAUCACAACAGAAGUAAAAUGUUGCUUUGUACCUGGUGUCUUUUAUUAAGAAUUUACUCCCCCCAUUUCUCACAGAG
Small nucleolar RNA from Homo sapiens (human), 131 nucleotides. Lineage: Eukaryota; Metazoa; Chordata; Mammalia; Primates; Hominidae. The record is from RefSeq and is marked validated.